Molecule: ribosomal RNA, 508 nt
Filed under: uncultured bacterium
Lineage: Bacteria
Description: partial 16S ribosomal RNA
Rfam family: Bacterial small subunit ribosomal RNA
Source: RNAcentral
GAUGAACGCUGGCGGCAUGCCUUACACAUGCAAGUCGAACGGCAGCGGGGGAGAAGCUUGCUUUUCCUGCCGGCGAGUGGCGAACGGGUGAGUAAUACAUCGGAACGUGCCCUGUAGUGGGGGAUAACUAGUCGAAAGAUUAGCUAAUACCGCAUACGACCUGAGGGUGAAAGUGGGGGACCGCAAGGCCUCAUGCUAUAGGAGCGGCCGAUGUCUGAUUAGCUAGUUGGUGGGGUAAAGGCCUACCAAGGCGACGAUCAGUAGCUGGUCUGAGAGGACGAUCAGCCACACUGGGACUGAGACACGGCCCAGACUCCUACGGGAGGCAGCAGUGGGGAAUUUUGGACAAUGGGCGAAAGCCUGAUCCAGCAACGCCGCGUGUGUGAAGAAGGCCUUCGGGUUGUAAAGCACUUUUGUCCGGAAAGAAAUGGCUCUGGUUAAUACCUGGGGUCGAUGACGGUACCGGAAGAAUAAGGACUGGCUAACUACGUGCCAGCAGCCGCCGUAA